CUCGACCGUCUUCAGAACGAAGCUGUCGCUCAUCGGUGUUCACG
RNAcentral lists this unclassified non-coding RNA (44 nucleotides) under Sorangium cellulosum So ce56. RNAcentral's name for it is "sce_s2m_82". Lineage: Bacteria; Pseudomonadati; Myxococcota; Polyangiales; Polyangiaceae. The record is from RNAcentral.